ACUAUCUUGGCAGAUUUGAAGUGCAACAGAUUUAGAAUCUGUAAAUAUGUUAUAACAUAGUUAGUA
This 66-nucleotide transfer RNA is filed under the name Theopompa sp. FY-2016a. Its description in RNAcentral is "tRNA-Leu". It matches the Rfam family "tRNA". From Rfam's summary of the family: Transfer RNA (tRNA) molecules are approximately 80 nucleotides in length. Their secondary structure includes four short double-helical elements and three loops (D, anti-codon, and T loops). Further hydrogen bonds mediate the characteristic L-shaped molecular structure. tRNAs have two regions of fundamental functional importance: the anti-codon, which is responsible for specific mRNA codon recognition, and the 3' end, to which the tRNAs corresponding amino acid is attached (by aminoacyl-tRNA synthetases). tRNAs cope with the degeneracy of the genetic code in two manners: having more than one tRNA (with a specific anti-codon) for a particular amino acid; and 'wobble' base-pairing, i.e. permitting non-standard base-pairing at the 3rd anti-codon position. The record is from RNAcentral. Lineage: Eukaryota; Metazoa; Arthropoda; Insecta; Mantodea; Gonypetidae.